Bos grunniens (domestic yak) is the source of this 107-nucleotide small nucleolar RNA. Its record names the gene U3. It matches the Rfam family "Small nucleolar RNA U3". Rfam says of the family: Small nucleolar RNAs (snoRNAs) are involved in the processing and modification of rRNA in the nucleolus. The record is from Ensembl. Lineage: Eukaryota; Metazoa; Chordata; Mammalia; Artiodactyla; Bovidae.
AAGACUAUACUUUCAGGGAUCAUUUCUAUAGUUCAUUACUAGAGAAGUUUCUCUGAUCGUGUAGAGCACCCAAAAAAACAAAAAAGGUGCAGGUUCAAUUUCUGGGU